RNAcentral lists this ribosomal RNA (433 nucleotides) under uncultured bacterium. RNAcentral describes it as "partial 16S ribosomal RNA". It matches the Rfam family "Bacterial small subunit ribosomal RNA", at positions 29 to 507 of the family's 1533-position model. The record is from RNAcentral.
AACGAACGCUGGCGGCAUGCCUAACACAUGCAAGUCGAACGAGACCUUCGGGUCUAGUGGCGCAUGGGUGCGUAACGCGUGGGAACCUGCCCUUAGGUUCGGAAUAACUCCCCGAAAGGGGUGCUAAUACCGGAUAAUGUCUUCGGACCAAAGAUUUAUCGCCUUUGGAUGGGCCCGCGUUGGAUUAGCUAGUUGGUAGGGUAAAAGCCUACCAAGGCGACGAUCCAUAGCUGGUCUGAGAGGAUGAUCAGACACACUGGGACUGAGACACGGCCCAGACUCCUACGGGAGGCAGCAGUGGGGAAUAUUGGACAAUGGGCGAAAGCCUGAUCCAGCAAUGCCGCGUGAGUGAUGAAGGCCUUAGGGUUGUAAAGCUCUUUUACCCGGGAUGAUAAUGACAGUACCGGGAGAAUAAGCUCCGGCUAACUCCGUG